This 466-nucleotide ribosomal RNA is filed under the name uncultured bacterium. RNAcentral describes it as "partial 16S ribosomal RNA". It matches the Rfam family "Bacterial small subunit ribosomal RNA", at positions 28 to 507 of the family's 1533-position model. The record is from RNAcentral.
GAUGAACGCUGGCGGCGUGCUUAACACAUGCCAGUCGAACGAUGAAGCCCAGCUUGCUGGGUGGAUUAGUGGCGAACGGGUGAGUAACACGUGAGUAACCUGCCCUUAACUCUGGGAUAAGCCUGGGAAACUGGGUCUAAUACCGGAUAGGAGCGUCCACCGCAUGGUGGGUGUUGGAAAGAUUUAUCGGUUUUGGAUGGACUCGCGGCCUAUCAGCUUGUUGGUGAGGUAAUGGCUCACCAAGGCGACGACGGGUAGCCGGCCUGAGAGGGUGACCGGCCACACUGGGACUGAGACACGGCCCAGACUCCUACGGGAGGCAGCAGUGGGGAAUAUUGCACAAUGGGCGCAAGCCUGAUGCAGCGACGCCGCGUGAGGGAUGACGGCCUUCGGGUUGUAAACCUCUUUCAGUAGGGAAGAAGCGAAAGUGACGGUACCUGCAGAAGAGGCACCGGCUAACUACGUG